This 841-nucleotide ribosomal RNA is filed under the name Lactiplantibacillus pentosus. RNAcentral describes it as "bacterial SSU rRNA". It matches the Rfam family "Bacterial small subunit ribosomal RNA", at positions 47 to 855 of the family's 1533-position model. The record is from RNAcentral. Lineage: Bacteria; Bacillati; Bacillota; Bacilli; Lactobacillales; Lactobacillaceae.
GUCUAUAAUGCAGUCGACGAACUCUGGUAUUGAUUGGUGCUUGCAUCAUGAUUUACAUUUGAGUGAGUGGCGAACUGGUGAGUAACACGUGGGAAACCUGCCCAGAAGCGGGGGAUAACACCUGGAAACAGAUGCUAAUACCGCAUAACAACUUGGACCGCAUGGUCCGAGUUUGAAAGAUGGCUUCGGCUAUCACUUUUGGAUGGUCCCGCGGCGUAUUAGCUAGAUGGUGGGGUAACGGCUCACCAUGGCAAUGAUACGUAGCCGACCUGAGAGGGUAAUCGGCCACAUUGGGACUGAGACACGGCCCAAACUCCUACGGGAGGCAGCAGUAGGGAAUCUUCCACAAUGGACGAAAGUCUGAUGGAGCAACGCCGCGUGAGUGAAGAAGGGUUUCGGCUCGUAAAACUCUGUUGUUAAAGAAGAACAUAUCUGAGAGUAACUGUUCAGGUAUUGACGGUAUUUAACCAGAAAGCCACGGCUAACUACGUGCCAGCAGCCGCGGUAAUACGUAGGUGGCAAGCGUUGUCCGGAUUUAUUGGGCGUAAAGCGAGCGCAGGCGGUUUUUUAAGUCUGAUGUGAAAGCCUUCGGCUCAACCGAAGAAGUGCAUCGGAAACUGGGAAACUUGAGUGCAGAAGAGGACAGUGGAACUCCAUGUGUAGCGGUGAAAUGCGUAGAUAUAUGGAAGAACACCAGUGGCGAAGGCGGCUGUCUGGUCUGUAACUGACGCUGAGGCUCGAAAGUAUGGGUAGCAAACAGGAUUAGAUACCCUGGUAGUCCAUACCGUAAACGAUGAAUGCUAAGUGUUGGAGGGUUUCCGCCCUUCAGUGCUGCAGCUAA